CCUACGGGAGGCAGCAGUGAGGAAUAUUGGUCAAUGGACGCAAGUCUGAACCAGCCAAGUAGCGUGAAGGAUGACGGCCCUAUGGUUUGUAAACUGCUUUUAUAAGGGCAUAAACUGAGUCACGUGUGGCUUAUUGCAUGUACUGUAUGAGUAAGGAACGGCUAACUCCGUGCCAGCAGCCGCGGUAAUACGGAGGGUCCGGGCGUUAUCCGGAUUUAUUGGGUUUAAAGGGAGCGUAGGUGGGACGUUAAGUCAGUUGUGAAAUUCCGCGGCUCAACCGUGGCACUGCAGUGGAAACUGGCAGUCUUGAGUACAGUUGAGGUAGGCGGAAUUCGUGGUGUAGCGGUGAAAUGCUUAGAUAUCACGAAGAACACCGAUUGCGAAGGCAGCUUAC
Molecule: ribosomal RNA, 394 nt
Filed under: uncultured bacterium
Lineage: Bacteria
Description: partial 16S ribosomal RNA
Rfam family: Bacterial small subunit ribosomal RNA
Source: RNAcentral